GAAUCACUUCUGUGGGAUGUAUCCCUGUUCAUUUCCUGGUUGUGCUCAGGAACUCUGGUUAUGCAAGAUAAUCACAAUUGAGGGGAAAUAGGGUGAAGGAUAUAGGGAUCUCUCCAUAUUAUUUCUUCCAACUGCAUGGGACUCUACAAAGAUCUCACUACAAAAAGGUAAAAACAGAAGUGUGUCUACCUUUAUGGCACUACUAGAGGAAUUCAAAGAUUUCUGUUUGGUCCUACCCUGCCUUUAGCGGAGUGCAAAUACCAGUUCCAGGCUUGGGGAGAAUGCGACCUGAAUACCGCCUUGAAGACCAGAACUGGAAGUCUGAAGCGAGCCCUCCACAACGCCGACUGCCAGAAGACAGUCACCAUCUCCAAGCCCUGUGGCAAGCUGACUAAGCCCAAACCUCAAGCAGAAUCUAAGAAAAAGAAAAAGGAGGGGAAGAAGCAGGAGAAGAUGCUGGACUAAUAGAUGCCACCUUCUGUGGAACAUGAAAAGGACAUCAGCAAACAGGAUCAGUUAACUAUUGCAUUUAUACCUAUGUAGGCUUUUUAUUCAAAAAUUAUCUAUAGCUUAAGUACACAAUAGGCAGAAACAGAACAGAAAAAUUUUGUAGUAGUGUUUUUUUUAAAUGUAUACCAUAGGACCACUAGGGGCUUAUAAUAAAGGACUGUAAUCCUAUUUAGAAAGUUGACUUAUAGUACAUGAUACAUGGUAGAAAAUUGAGGUAAGUUUUUUGAAGUUAUGUGAUAUUUUACAUUUAAAAUCUUUUUUUUUUUACAUUUUUUUUCUUUUGGCAGCAAUUUACGUGUUAUGACCAUGUAAACUACUUUUCUUGUUAGAUAAUUUUUUCACCUAGACUUUUUUUCCCAAUUGAGAAAAAUCUAUACUAAACAAAGCAGCAAUAAAAUAUAAUCAUCCUAUCGGAGGAAAAUAUCUUGUUUUCUGCCAGUGGAUUAAAAAACAAAAAACAAAAAACUUUGGUCAGCAAAAUGGGGAAGGGGGCACAGCAUGCUCUAAUUCAAUGUUGACUUUUUUUAAGAAAAGCAUUAAAAGAAAUUCUUUACCUUUGGCAGGAA
Leptonychotes weddellii (Weddell seal) is the source of this 1076-nucleotide non-coding RNA. Lineage: Eukaryota; Metazoa; Chordata; Mammalia; Carnivora; Phocidae. The record is from RefSeq and is a predicted model, not a curated record.